GCUGCGGACAAAGUAGAGACGCAUUCGAAGGAGCCAAAAAGAGGAUGAAUAGUCAGCAAAUCAAACAAUGAACCCAUUAUUACUCAAUCCUGAUUAAUGUCAAGACUGUGAAAAAUGGAAAAACAUUUUUUUGUGAGAUGACAAUAAAUCCUCCAAUUGCUAACACGAAACGAUAAUUGGCAUAAAUUUCGGGUCACCUGUCGAGUGUGAUAGACCCAACGACCAGAGAAAACAAAAAUUGAAGAGCAAAAAGAUCAAAGAGUCCUCCAACAAUUCAGUGUGUUGAUCCAAUAUUACCAGGGUCACACUGGGCACAUUGAGCAGUCGAAUGGCUAGCUCGAUCCACAUAUAGUACAACCCCGCGUUCACAUGAAUGGAGGCCACAAAGAAACGUAAUGCUCGUGAAGCCCAGGCCAUCACAAAUCCAUAACAUCUAUUUCUGGGCUGCAUCGCCUCGCGGAAGUAGCUUCCCUGUCACACGAUUAAUGCAUCAUCCCGUAAUUUUCAAACUGGAAAAUUAUUUAAAGGAGAUACUUCGAGAUUGAAUCACAGAGCAAACUGGACAUGUUUGGAGGUGGGAAAGAGGAUUUAUCGGGUAAUUACAAUGGUUCAUCAUGAAUUAUCUUCACAAUUUCAUUAUCACCCCAUUAAUGAUAAUGUCACCUCGGUGUUAUACGACGAAGCCACGCCCCAUUUGAUCGUCCUGUGUUUAUCAAGAC
This is a long non-coding RNA of Diachasmimorpha longicaudata, 719 nucleotides long. RefSeq lists it as uncharacterized. The record is from RefSeq and is a predicted model, not a curated record. Lineage: Eukaryota; Metazoa; Arthropoda; Insecta; Hymenoptera; Braconidae. The transcript has 3 exons.